This 32-nucleotide non-coding RNA is filed under the name Vibrio phage 2.096.O._10N.286.48.B5. Lineage: Duplodnaviria; Heunggongvirae; Uroviricota; Caudoviricetes. The record is from RNAcentral.
AACGGUGGUGCAGCACCAGCACCAAUGCCAUC